This 207-nucleotide ribosomal RNA is filed under the name uncultured bacterium. RNAcentral describes it as "partial 16S ribosomal RNA". It matches the Rfam family "Bacterial small subunit ribosomal RNA", at positions 568 to 774 of the family's 1533-position model. The record is from RNAcentral.
CACGUAGGCGGCUUUGUAAGUUAGAGGUGAAAGCCCGGGGCUCGACUCCGGAAUUGCCUUUAAGACUGCAUCGCUAGAAUUGUGGAGAGGUAAGUGGAAUUCCGAGUGUAGAGGUGAAAUUCGUAGAUAUUCGGAAGAACACCAGUGGCGAAGGCGACUUACUGGACACAUAUUGACGCUGAGGUGCGAAAGCGUGGGGAGCAAACA